CAAAUUCGCUUGGCAGAUGGAAAGCAAUCGAUUAGAAUCUGUACAGGACAUGUUUCCACGGAGCCGCCGUUGAUUUGGUAAGACUUUGGGCCUGAGCCAUUAUUAAAUAAAUUUAGUUAUCCGGA
Caenorhabditis elegans is the source of this 125-nucleotide long non-coding RNA. Ensembl annotates it as ncRNA. Its record names the gene linc-78. NCBI's taxonomy places the organism in Eukaryota, Metazoa, Nematoda, Chromadorea, Rhabditida, Rhabditidae. The record is from Ensembl.